UACGUAGGGGGCAAGCGUUGUCCGGAAUCAUUGGGCGUAAAGAGCGUGUAGGCGGCCAGAAAAGUCCGCUGUGAAAACUCGAGGCUCAACUUCGAGCUGUCGGUGGAAACUUUCUGGCUAGAGUCCGGAAGAGGAGAAUGGAAUUCCUGGUGUAGCGGUGAAAUGCGCAGAUAUCAGGAAGAACACCCGUGGCGAAGGCGGUUCUCUGGGCCGUAACUGACGCUGAGGAGCGAAAGCAUGGGGAGCGAACAGG
RNAcentral lists this ribosomal RNA (253 nucleotides) under uncultured bacterium. Its description in RNAcentral is "partial 16S ribosomal RNA". It matches the Rfam family "Bacterial small subunit ribosomal RNA", at positions 524 to 776 of the family's 1533-position model. The record is from RNAcentral.